Molecule: ribosomal RNA, 363 nt
Filed under: uncultured Glomeromycotina
Lineage: Eukaryota; Fungi; Glomeromycota
Description: SSU rRNA
Rfam family: Eukaryotic small subunit ribosomal RNA
Source: RNAcentral
AGCAGCCGCGGUAAUUCCAGCUCCAAUAGCGUAUAUUAAAGUUGCUGCAGUUAAAAAGCUCGUAGUUGAAUUUCGGGACCAUCAUGUCGGUCGUGCCUCGGUACGUACUGGCAUUGUUGGUUUCUCCCUUCUGACGAACCAAGAUGUCAUUAAUUUGGUGUCUUGGGGAAUCAGGACUGUUACCUUGAAAAAUUAGAGUGUUUAAAGCAGGCUCGCGCUUGAAUACAUUAGCAUGGAAUAAUGAAAUAGGACGUUUGAUUCUAUUUUGUCGGUUUCUAGGAUCGACGUAAUGAUUAAUAGGGAUAGUUGGGGGCAUUAGUAUUCAAUUGUCAGAGGUGAAAUUCUUGGAUUUUAUUGAAGACU